GACGAACGCUGGCGGCGUGCUUAACACAUGCAAGUCGAACGCACAGCGAAAGGUGCUUGCACCUUUCAAGUGAGUGGCGAACGGGUGAGUAACACGUGGACAACCUGCCUCAAGGCUGGGGAUAACAUUUGGAAACAGAUGCUAAUACCGAAUAAAACUUAGUGUCGCAUGACACAAAGUUAAAAGGCGCUUUGGCGUCACCUAGAGAUGGAUCCGCGGUGCAUUAGUUAGUUGGUGGGGUAAAGGCCUACCAAGACAAUGAUGCAUAGCCGAGUUGAGAGACUGAUCGGCCACAUUGGGACUGAGACACGGCCCAAACUCCUACGGGAGGCUGCAGUAGGGAAUCUUCCUCAAUGGGCGAAAGCCUGAUGGAGCAACGCCGCGUGUGUGAUGAAGGCUUUCGGGUCGUAAAGCACUGUUGUAUGGGAAGAACAGCUAGAAUAGGGAAUGAUUUUAGUUUGACGGUACCAUACCAGAAAGGGACGGCUAAAUACGUGCCAGCAGCCGCCGUAA
Molecule: ribosomal RNA, 513 nt
Filed under: uncultured bacterium
Lineage: Bacteria
Description: partial 16S ribosomal RNA
Rfam family: Bacterial small subunit ribosomal RNA
Source: RNAcentral